AAUCAACGCUGGCGGCAGGCUUAACACAUGCAAGUCGAACGCCCCGCAAGGGGAGUGGCAGACGGGUGAGUAACGCGUGGGAAUCUACCCAAUUCUACGGAACAACACAGGGAAACUUGUGCUAAUACCGUAUACGCCCUACGGGGGAAAGAUUUAUCGGAAUUGGAUGAGCCCGCGUUGGAUUAGCUAGUUGGUGGGGUAAUGGCCUACCAAGGCGACGAUCCAUAGCUGGUCUGAGAGGAUGAUCAGCCACACUGGGACUGAGACACGGCCCAGACUCCUACGGGAGGCAGCAGUGGGGAAUAUUGGACAAUGGGCGAAAGCCUGAUCCAGCCAUGCCGCGUGAGUGAUGAAGGCCUUAGGGUUGUAAAGCUCUUUCAGUGGGGAAGAUAAUGACGGUACCCACAGAAGAAGCCCCGGCUAACUUCGUGCCAGCCGCCGCGGUAA
Molecule: ribosomal RNA, 447 nt
Filed under: uncultured bacterium
Lineage: Bacteria
Description: partial 16S ribosomal RNA
Rfam family: Bacterial small subunit ribosomal RNA
Source: RNAcentral